Molecule: ribosomal RNA, 870 nt
Filed under: uncultured bacterium
Lineage: Bacteria
Description: bacterial SSU rRNA
Rfam family: Bacterial small subunit ribosomal RNA
Source: RNAcentral
AGAGUUUGAUCCUGGCUCAGGAUGAACGCUGGCGGUAUGCCUAACACAUGCAAGUCGUACGAGAGUUUUUAACUCAAGUGGCGGACGGGUGAGUAACACGUGAGAAUUUGCCUUUAGGAGGGGGAUAACAACUAGAAAUGGUUGCUAAUACCCCAUAUGCUUCCGAGUGAAAUAGAUUUAUCUGCCUAAAGAGAAGCUCGCGGCUGAUUAGCUUGUUGGUAAGGUAAUGGCUUACCAAGGCGACGAUCAGUGUCUGGUUUGAGAGGACGAUCAGACACACUGGAACUGAGACACGGUCCAGACUCCUACGGGAGGCAGCAGUGGGGAAUUUUCCGCAAUGGGCGAAAGCCUGACGGAGCAAUACCGCGUGAGGGAAGACGGCCUAUGGGUUGUAAACCUCUUUUUUCAGGGAGGAAUAAAAUGACGUGUACCUGAAGAAUAAGCAUCGGCUAACUCCGUGCCAGCAGCCGCGGUAAGACGGAGGAUGCAAGUGUUAUCCGGAAUCACUGGGCGUAAAGCGUCUGUAGGUGGUCAAAUAAGUCAACUGUUAAAUCUUGAGGCUCAACCUCAAAACCGCAGUCGAAACUAUUAGACUAGAGUAUAGUAGGGGUAAAGGGAAUUUCCAGUGGAGCGGUGAAAUGCGUAGAUAUUGGAAAGAACACCGAUGGCGAAGGCACUUUACUGGGCUAUUACUAACACUCAGAGACGAAAGCUAGGGUAGCAAAUGGGAUUAGAUACCCCAGUAGUCCUAGCUGUAAGCAAUGGAUACUAGAUGUUGAACAGAUCGACCUGUGCAGUAUCAAAGCUAACGCGUUAAGUAUCCCGCCUGGGAAGUAUGCUCGCAAGAGUGAAACUCAAAGGAAUUGACGG